UCGUCUUCCGGCAGACAUCCUGCCACUACGCAGGCGCAGUUCAUCGACACUGCCUCUGCUUUGCGCGGGAAUUUUGGAGGCGCUGGUGUCUCUGAAAUGGCACAGAACGCGGACCCCGAGCUCGUGGUCAACAGGAGCGGAAGCCCUGGCCUGGACCGAGGCCUUCCCGAAGUGAGGAAGCUCCGCCCCGCCCCUUGCCCGUCUCCCGGCCUGGGCUCCUAAAGCUAGCACUGGAGUGGCCCGGGACUCCCUCGGCCCCCUACUCCUUCCUUGGUCCUCCCCUUGUUCCUUCCCCUCCCUCCGUCCCUCUCCCUUACCUUAUCUCACCCCCCUCCCCGUUCCUUUUUGUGUCCGUGCGCCCAUUCUCUUUUACUCCCUCUCUGCCCUCCCCGCCCCCAUCCUGCGUUGUCAGUCGCCCAGCAUCUAUUAAUUGCCUAUGGAGUGCUAAGUGCUGGGGGAACUAAGAAAAGCAAAAGGAGCCCCUGGCCUUGGAGCAUCUAAUGGGAUAGACAGCCUGCAAAGGUUUCUGUGCAAACAGGAUACCGACAGAUUAAAUUGGAGAGGAAGGCACCAGAAUUAAGAGGGCUUGAAAAACAUCUCUUUGAUGAUAGUAUUUUAGCUUCUAUAUGAAGGAGGUGUAGAUGUGGAGGGCUAGCAUUCAGCCAUAAAGAGUCUUGGGGAAGGCCAGUGUAUCUCAGAGUAUUGAGAGUUUGGAGGGAGUUUAAGGUAUAAGAAGGCUCACCACUGUCAAACCUUCCCUGCCCCCCACCUCCCACACCCCUUUCUACUCCAAUCCAAAACCUCAAGCUUAAAGCAAAAUUUAGUACUCCACACAUAGUGCUCAAUAGAUGAAUUUUCUUUAAUUCCUAAUGUGCUGGGGCCUGGGAAUGUAAAGAAAAAGGAAAAACAGAAUCUGCCCUCCUCCUCCCUCAGCCCCUCUCCACUCUCUGUACUUCAUCUAUCAUACAUUUUAUAGCACCAACUGUGAGUCAGACACCAUGUUAGGUUCUGUGGAUACAAAGACAAAAAUAAUUCCUACUCUCAUUCCACUCUUCUUCUCUAUCUCUCUCAAAUCUUACCUUUCCCUCAUCUUUAUUCCUUUUACUGGAUCUUCCAGUCCCUUCUAUGACUUCUCAUUGCC
RNAcentral lists this long non-coding RNA (1141 nucleotides) under Monodelphis domestica (gray short-tailed opossum). RNAcentral describes it as "lncRNA (ENSMODG00000035954.2)". Lineage: Eukaryota; Metazoa; Chordata; Mammalia; Didelphimorphia; Didelphidae. The record is from RNAcentral.